CGGGCCUUGCGCUAUCAGAUGAGCCUAGGUCGGAUUAGCUAGUUGGUGAGGUAAUGGCUCACCAAGGCGACGAUCCGUAACUGGUCUGAGAGGAUGAUCAGUCACACUGGAACUGAGACACGGUCCAGACUCCUACGGGAGGCAGCAGUGGGGAAUAUUGGACAAUGGGCGAAAGCCUGAUCCAGCCAUGCCGCGUGUGUGAAGAAGGUGUUCGGAUUGUAAAGCAAUGUAAGUGGGAGGAAGGGCAGUUACCUA
RNAcentral lists this ribosomal RNA (255 nucleotides) under uncultured bacterium. RNAcentral describes it as "partial 16S ribosomal RNA". It matches the Rfam family "Bacterial small subunit ribosomal RNA", at positions 207 to 462 of the family's 1533-position model. The record is from RNAcentral.